GAUGAACGCUGGCGGCGUGCCUAAUACAUGCAAGUCGAGCGAACGGAUGAGAAGCUUGCUUCUCUGAUGUUAGCGGCGGACGGGUGAGUAACACGUGGAUAACCUACCUAUAAGACUGGGAUAAUUUCGGGAAACCGGAGCUAAUACCGGAUAAUAUUUUGAACCGCAUGGUUCAAAAGUGAAAGACGGCCUUGGUGUCUCUUAUAGAUGGUUCCGCGCUGGAUUAGCUAGUUGGUAAGGUAACGGCCUACCAAGGCAACGAUGCGUAUCCGACCUGAGAGGGUGAUCGGCCACAGUGGAAGUGAGACACGGUCAAGACUACUACGGGAGGCAGCAGUAGGGAAUCUUCGGCAAUGGGCGAGAGCCUGACGCAGCAACGCCGCGUGAGUGAUGAAGGUCUUCGGAUCGUAAAGCUCUCUUAUUAGGGAAGAACAGAUGUGUACGUAACUGUAGCCGUCUUGACGGUACCUAAUGAGAAAGCACCGGCUAACUACGUG
RNAcentral lists this ribosomal RNA (497 nucleotides) under uncultured bacterium. Its description in RNAcentral is "partial 16S ribosomal RNA". It matches the Rfam family "Bacterial small subunit ribosomal RNA", at positions 28 to 507 of the family's 1533-position model. The record is from RNAcentral.